CUGCUUGUAGAAUUUUACCAGAAUUUCUGGGAAUUAAUUAAAUGGGGCCUUAAGGGUUUACUUGAUGAUUUCCAUUCUGGACACCUGGACAUUUCUAGGUUGAAUUAUGGAAUUAUUACAUUAGUACCCAAGGUUAAAGAUGCUAAACAAAUACAGAAAUUCAAACCAAUAUGCUUACUUAAUGUGAGUUUCAAGAUAAUAACAAAAGUACUAAUGAAUAGACUCAGCAAGGUCAUUAGGCCAAUAAUCUCUUCAAACCAGACAACAUUCAUAAAAGAGAGAUAUAUUAUGGAAGGGGUUGUGGUGUUGCAUGAAGCUUUACAAUACAUAAAAAGAAACAAAGUGCUCUGCUCUUCAAGGUAG
RNAcentral lists this ribosomal RNA (363 nucleotides) under Triticum aestivum (bread wheat). RNAcentral describes it as "partial small subunit ribosomal RNA". The record is from RNAcentral. Lineage: Eukaryota; Viridiplantae; Streptophyta; Magnoliopsida; Poales; Poaceae.